RNAcentral lists this long non-coding RNA (328 nucleotides) under Nicotiana benthamiana. RNAcentral describes it as "long non-coding RNA (NBEN_LNC040324)". The record is from RNAcentral. Lineage: Eukaryota; Viridiplantae; Streptophyta; Magnoliopsida; Solanales; Solanaceae.
GUAUAGGCUUGGGGGUUUACCUUUGGCUAUUCAGUGCUGGUUCUAUGAGUGCUGCACCUAUGUUGAUGGCAAGUGGGCUCACCGGAUUGACAACAAAGUGCCCCGUAUUCUUAAUUGGAGAAUUCAGAGGCAACCGACCUUAAACAAGUUGUCUAGUGGGAUCUUCAAGAUGAGUGGGCACAAGGUAAAUUGCAAAGUCAAUAUGCAUAAUCCGUACCGUAUUCUUAAUUGGAAAAUUUGGAGGCAACCGACCUUGAACGGGUUGUCUAGUGGGAUCUUCAAGAUGAGUGGGCACAAGGUAAAUUGCAAAGUCAAUAUGCAUAAUCUG